UACGUAGGGCGCAAGCGUUGUCCGGAAUUAUUGGGCGUAAAGAGCUCGUAGGCGGCCUGUUGCGUCCGCUGUGAAAUCCCGGGGCUUAACCCCGGGCUUGCAGUGGAUACGGGCAGGCUGGAGGCAGGCAGGGGGGAACGGAAUUCCCGGUGUAGCGGUGAAAUGCGCAGAUAUCGGGAGGAACACCGGUGGCGAAGGCGGUUCUCUGGGCCUGUACUGACGCUGAGGAGCGAAAGCGUGGGGAGCGAACAGG
Molecule: ribosomal RNA, 253 nt
Filed under: uncultured bacterium
Lineage: Bacteria
Description: partial 16S ribosomal RNA
Rfam family: Bacterial small subunit ribosomal RNA
Source: RNAcentral